RNAcentral lists this ribosomal RNA (484 nucleotides) under uncultured bacterium. Its description in RNAcentral is "partial 16S ribosomal RNA". It matches the Rfam family "Bacterial small subunit ribosomal RNA", at positions 30 to 507 of the family's 1533-position model. The record is from RNAcentral.
AGUGAACGCUGGCGGCAGGCCUAACACAUGCAAGUCGAGCGGCAGCGGGUCCUUCGGGAUGCCGGCGAGCGGCGGACGGGUGAGGAAUACAUCGGAAUCUGCCCUGUCGUGGGGGAUAACCUAGGGAAACUUAGGCUAAUACCGCAUACGACCUACGGGUGAAAGCGGGGGAUCGCAAGACCUCGCGCGACAGGAUGAGCCGAUGUCCGCUUAGCUAGUUGGCGGGGUAAAGGCCCACCAAGGCGACGAUCGGUAGCUGGUCUUAGAGGAUGAUCAGCCACACUGGGACUGAAACACGGCCCAGACUCCUACGGGAGGCAGCAGUGGGGAAUAGUGGACAAUGGGCGCAAGCCUGAUCCAGCCAUGCCGCGUGGGUGAAGAAGGCCUUCGGGUUGUAAAGCCCUUUUGUCCGGGAAGAAAUCGUCUGGGCUAAUACCCCGGGCGGAUGACGGUACCGGAAGAAUAAGCACCGGCUAACUUCGUG